RNAcentral lists this ribosomal RNA (233 nucleotides) under uncultured bacterium. RNAcentral's name for it is "partial 16S ribosomal RNA". It matches the Rfam family "Bacterial small subunit ribosomal RNA", at positions 103 to 334 of the family's 1533-position model. The record is from RNAcentral.
CGGGUGAGUAACGCGUGAGGAACCUGCCUCAAAGAGAGGGACAACAGUUGGAAACGACUGCUAAUACCGCAUAAGCCCACGGCUCGGCAUCGAGCAGAGGGAAAAGGAGUGAUCCGCUUUGAGAUGGCCUCGCGUCCGAUUAGCUAGUUGGUGAGGUAACGGCCCACCAAGGCGACGAUCGGUAGCCGGACUGGGAGGUUGAACGGCCACAUUGGGACUGAGACACGGCCCAG